GCUUAUGACCAAAUCACCCGGAAUGUGCUUGGAUAUCGUCAGAUCUCGGACGCUAAGCACCGUUGAGGCUGGUUAGUGCUUGGAUGGGCGACCACCCAUGCACAGCUGAUUGCUGCGGAGCU
RNAcentral lists this ribosomal RNA (122 nucleotides) under Petromyzon marinus (sea lamprey). The record is from RNAcentral. Lineage: Eukaryota; Metazoa; Chordata; Hyperoartia; Petromyzontiformes; Petromyzontidae.